GUGCUUGCUUCAGCAGCACAUAUACUAAAACUGGAACGAUACAGAAAUUAGCAUGGCCCUUGUGCAAGGAUGACAUGCAAAUUUGUGAAGUGCUCCAUAUUUAA
Molecule: small nuclear RNA, 104 nt
Filed under: Tupaia belangeri (northern tree shrew)
Lineage: Eukaryota; Metazoa; Chordata; Mammalia; Scandentia; Tupaiidae
Source: RNAcentral